Long non-coding RNA from Cydia splendana, 468 nucleotides. RefSeq lists it as uncharacterized. The transcript has 3 exons. Lineage: Eukaryota; Metazoa; Arthropoda; Insecta; Lepidoptera; Tortricidae. The record is from RefSeq and is a predicted model, not a curated record.
UCAGCCGGUAAAGUAUACGGAUUUCUUGAGAUGCAAGGGGAAGUCGGCUAAAUGAGAAAUUAUUCAGAGAGGGCUCCGUCUCAUUAAAACAGAGAUGUGACGUCAACGGAUGAAUUAUAUUACAUCUCCCUUUUUUCCGUACCGACUGCCUCUUGGCCGCUCUCCUCACUCGCUCCUCUUUCUCCUGCUCCUCGCGGCAGCGGUGGAAGUUCUCCACCACCACUCCCACGAACAUGUUCAGCACGAAGAACCCCACAAGCAGUAUGAACGCGAUGAAGUACAGGAGACGCCAUUCAGAGUAGUUCACUAUUGGCUGUUGAAUAAACCAUGUGGAGGUGAGCCGACUCCGUGGUAACAUUUAUUCUACGAGAAAUUCUACGAUAACAGUUGGAUAAACUUGAUAUGAGCUUUAGGCUAAUGUUACGAGGCAUUUCUAUGAAUAAGUGUAUGAUGUUAUAUUAAAGCCGA